This 253-nucleotide ribosomal RNA is filed under the name uncultured bacterium. RNAcentral describes it as "partial 16S ribosomal RNA". It matches the Rfam family "Bacterial small subunit ribosomal RNA", at positions 524 to 776 of the family's 1533-position model. The record is from RNAcentral.
UACGGGGGGGGCAAGCGUUGUUCGGAAUUACUGGGCGUAAAGGGCUUGUAGGCGGCCAACUAAGUCAAACGUGAAAUCCCUCGGCUUAACCGGGGAACUGCGCUUGAUACUGGAUGGCUUGAGAUUGGGAGAGGGAUGCGGAAUUCCAGGUGUAGCGGUGAAAUGCGUAGAUAUCAGGAGGAACACCUGUGGUGUAGACGGCUUACUGGACUAUAACUGACGCUGAGGAACGAAAGCGUGGGUAGCAAACAGG